This 512-nucleotide ribosomal RNA is filed under the name uncultured bacterium. Its description in RNAcentral is "partial 16S ribosomal RNA". It matches the Rfam family "Bacterial small subunit ribosomal RNA", at positions 28 to 523 of the family's 1533-position model. The record is from RNAcentral.
GAUGAACGCUGGCGGCAUGCCUAAUACAUGCAAGUCGAACGAGAGGAAGGAAAGCUUGCUUUUCUGAAUCUAGUGGCGAACGGGUGAGUAACACGUAGGUAACCUGCCCAUGUGCCCGGGAUAACUUCUGGAAACGGAUGCUAAAACCGGAUAGGUAGCAGACAAGCAUUUGACUGCUAUUAAAGUGGCUAAGGCCAUGAACACGGAUGGACCUGCGGUGCAUUAGCUAGUUGGUGAGGUAACGGCCCACCAAGGCGACGAUGCAUAGCCGGCCUGAGAGGGCGGACGGCCACAUUGGGACUGAGACACGGCCCAAACUCCUACGGGAGGCAGCAGUAGGGAAUUUUUGUCAAUGGGGGGAACCCUGAACGAGCAAUGCCGCGUGAGUGAGGAAGGUCUUCGGAUCGUAAAGCUCCGUUGUAAGAGAAAAACGACAUUCAUAGGGAAUGAUGAGUGAGUGAUGGUAUCUUACCAGAAAGUCACGGCUAACUACGUGCCAGCCGCCGCGGUAA